This 465-nucleotide ribosomal RNA is filed under the name Vreelandella stevensii. RNAcentral's name for it is "partial 16S ribosomal RNA". It matches the Rfam family "Bacterial small subunit ribosomal RNA", at positions 338 to 795 of the family's 1533-position model. Lineage: Bacteria; Pseudomonadati; Pseudomonadota; Gammaproteobacteria; Oceanospirillales; Halomonadaceae. The record is from RNAcentral.
CCUACGGGAGGCUGCAGUGGGGAAUAUUGGACAAUGGGGGGAACCCUGAUCCAGCCAUGCCGCGUGUGUGAAGAAGGCCCUCGGGUUGUAAAGCACUUUCAGUGAGGAAGAACGCCUGGUGGUUAAUACCCAUCAGGAAAGACAUCACUCACAGAAGAAGCACCGGCUAACUCCGUGCCAGCAGCCGCGGUAAUACGGAGGGUGCGAGCGUUAAUCGGAAUUACUGGGCGUAAAGCGCGCGUAGGUGGCUUGAUAAGCCGGUUGUGAAAGCCCCGGGCUCAACCUGGGAACGGCAUCCGGAACUGUCAAGCUAGAGUGCAGGAGAGGAAGGUAGAAUUCCCGGUGUAGCGGUGAAAUGCGUAGAGAUCGGGAGGAAUACCAGUGGCGAAGGCGGACUUCUGGACUGACACUGACACUGAGGUGCGAAAGCGUGGGUAGCAAACAGGAUUAGAUACCCGGGUAGUC